Molecule: ribosomal RNA, 87 nt
Filed under: Cicuta maculata
Lineage: Eukaryota; Viridiplantae; Streptophyta; Magnoliopsida; Apiales; Apiaceae
Description: partial 5.8S ribosomal RNA
Rfam family: 5.8S ribosomal RNA
About the family: 5.8S ribosomal RNA (5.8S rRNA) is a component of the large subunit of the eukaryotic ribosome. It is transcribed by RNA polymerase I as part of the 45S precursor that also contains 18S and 28S rRNA.
Source: RNAcentral
UGCAGAAUCCCGUGAACCAUCGAGUCUUUGAACGCAAGUUGCGCCCGAGGCCACUAGGCUAAGGGCACGUCUGCCUGGGUGUCACGC